This 743-nucleotide long non-coding RNA is filed under the name Sorghum bicolor (sorghum). Its description in RNAcentral is "long non-coding RNA (SBIC_LNC014660)". The record is from RNAcentral. Lineage: Eukaryota; Viridiplantae; Streptophyta; Magnoliopsida; Poales; Poaceae.
CCUAGACAAAAGUCCAAAUUUCAGGAGCCUGAAAGAUAGAAGCGUCGUUUUUUUUUCAAUUCCCGGAUGGACCUACUCCGUGAUUAGAUCAUUGACUCAGAUGACUCACCAAGUCAUUAUGCAGUGUGUAGGAUGCCAGAUUGCCACGAGAAGACGUGGCCACAAUAAUGUUUCAAAAAAAAACAAAUAAAGGUGACACACGGCUAACUGGAAGAGGAACGAUGAUGAUUUUGAGAAGGUCGGCCGGCGACGGCGAGAGACGGCACCGCCGUGCACGGGGAUACAGCUACAGCGAGGGAUAUAUGACGAUGAUAACGAUGGUCUACCUGCCGCACGGACACGGAUUCCGAGCGCUCGCGCGCUCGUCCAUCUCCAUUUCCAUGUAAAAUAAGCAUGUUUGUUUGUGCUUAUUAGUCGAAUCUGCUAGUCAUUCAAUGGUAUUUUCUCUAAUAACAAAUCAACUAACAAUAUUUUUUGUUAUGAUUUAUCAGCUAAACGAACAAGACACGCCCGAGCAACCUCUAGUACGUCAAUUGGUGAAGGGAUCGAUCCUUCUUCUAGCUUUAUUUCUCUCUCUCAUUUUCACAAACAAAAGAAAAAGAAAAAAAAAUAAAGAAAGUGUCCUCCGAAUUGAGUAUACCGGUAGCUCCGGCGUCGCUCUCGAUGGAGAUGCUGUGUCUGUCCGUCAGGACGCACGCAACGUAACGGAACAGGACUACUACAAGUACUUACUACUUUGGCCU